UGAGGAAGUAAAAGUCGUAACAAGGUUUCCGUAGGUGAACCUGCGGAAGGAUCAUUACUGAGAGAGGGGCUUCGCGCUCCCGGGGGUCUCGGCCCCCAACUCUUCACCCUGUGUGUACCUACCUUUGUUGCUUUGGCGGGCCUCGGGGGUCUCCCUCCGCGUCGGCUUUCGGGUCGAUGAGCGUCCGUCAGAGACCCAUUUACAUUCUGUUUAUCAGUGUCGUCCGAGUACAAAAUGAAUAAAUAAAAACUUUCAACAACGGAUCUCUUGGUUCCAGCAUCGAUGAAGAACGCAGCGAAAUGCGAUAAGUAAUGUGAAUUGCAGAAUUCAGUGAAUCAUCGAAUCUUUGAACGCACAUUGCGCCCCUCGGUAUUCCGGGGGGCAUGCCUGUUCGAGCGUCAUUACACCUCUCAAGCUUCGCUUGGUAUUGGGUAAUUCGCCCUCGAGGCGUACCCGAAAAGCAGUGGCGGUCCGGCGUGACUUUAAGCGUAGUAAAUUACCAUCCCGCUUUGAAAGUUCGCGUUGUGGCUCGCCAGACAACCGCCAUAUAGAUUGUUUACCCGUUCUAUAAGCUUCCAAUAAUUGACCUCGGAUCAGGUAGGGAUACCCGCUGAACUUAAGCAUAUCAAUAAGCGGAGGAA
Molecule: ribosomal RNA, 641 nt
Filed under: Parmotrema tinctorum
Lineage: Eukaryota; Fungi; Ascomycota; Lecanoromycetes; Lecanorales; Parmeliaceae
Description: eukaryotic LSU rRNA
Rfam family: 5.8S ribosomal RNA (bases 248-401)
Source: RNAcentral